Molecule: ribosomal RNA, 302 nt
Filed under: uncultured fungus
Lineage: Eukaryota; Fungi
Description: eukaryotic LSU rRNA
Rfam family: 5.8S ribosomal RNA (bases 1-71)
Source: RNAcentral
GUGAAUCAUCGAGUCUUUGAACGCACAUUGCGCCCCUCGGUAUUCCGGCGGGCAUGUCUGUUUGAGCGUCAUUACGAACCCCUUCGGCCGCGCAUUUCGGUGCCCGGCCGGUUAUGGGCCCGCCGAACGGUCCCUCUCCGAGACCCGGCCGGCCUUAAACACGAUGCUACGCGAGCGGUCUGACCGGAAGAACAUAGUAGAUUCGUUUCCGCUGUUCCCCUAGGUCGCGGCCGGCUUCGCCCUGAACAAAACCGAUCACAAGGUUUGACCUCAGAUCAGACAAGGAUACCCGCUGAACUUAA